CGCGGGGUGGAGCAGUCUGGUAGCUCGUCGGGCUCAUAACCCGAAGGUCAUAGGUUCGAAUCCUAUCCCCGCAACCA
RNAcentral lists this transfer RNA (77 nucleotides) under Campylobacterota bacterium. RNAcentral describes it as "Epsilonproteobacteria bacterium tRNA-Met". It matches the Rfam family "tRNA". From Rfam's summary of the family: Transfer RNA (tRNA) molecules are approximately 80 nucleotides in length. The record is from RNAcentral. Lineage: Bacteria; Pseudomonadati; Campylobacterota. RNAcentral also lists the same sequence under 1 other name.